RNAcentral lists this small nucleolar RNA (117 nucleotides) under Phocoena sinus (vaquita). Its description in RNAcentral is "Small nucleolar RNA SNORD22 (ENSPSNG00000016614.1)". It matches the Rfam family "Small nucleolar RNA SNORD22". From Rfam's summary of the family: U22 is a member of the C/D class of snoRNA which contain the C (UGAUGA) and D (CUGA) box motifs. U22 is encoded within the U22 snoRNA host gene (UHG) in mammals and has also been identified in Xenopus. Lineage: Eukaryota; Metazoa; Chordata; Mammalia; Artiodactyla; Phocoenidae. RNAcentral also lists the same sequence under 1 other name. The record is from Rfam by way of RNAcentral.
UCCCAGUGAAGAAACAUUCAAACAUUACUUCCUGUCCUAGUCCCAGAGCCUGUAAAGGUGAACCCACUGGGGCUGGCUGGAGAAGAGGAAAGUUUGUUCCAGAAGGAACUGAGGGAU